CCUACGGGAGGCAGCAGUGGGGAAUAUUGGGCAAUGGGCGCAAGCCUGACCCAGCAACGCCGCGUGAAGGAAGAAGGCUUUCGGGUUGUAAACUUCUUUUCACAGGGAAGAAUAGAGUACGGUUCCCGUCGAAUUAGCCACGGCUAACCACGUGCCAACAGCCGCGGUAAUAAGUAGGUGGGAAGCGUUGUUCGGAUUUACUGGGUGUAAAGGGCGUGUAGUCGGGUUGACAAGUCAGAUGUGAAAACCUAGGGCUUAACCGAAGACCUGCAUUUGAAACUGUUGAUCUUGAGUACUGGAGAGGCAGACGGAAUUCCUAGUGUAGCGGUGAAAUGCGUAGAUAUUAGGAGGAACACCAGUGGCGAAGGCGGUCUGCUGGACAGCAACUGACGGUGAGGCGCGAAAGCGUGGGGAGCAAACAGGAUUAGAUACCCUAGUAGUC
RNAcentral lists this ribosomal RNA (442 nucleotides) under uncultured bacterium. RNAcentral's name for it is "partial 16S ribosomal RNA". It matches the Rfam family "Bacterial small subunit ribosomal RNA", at positions 338 to 795 of the family's 1533-position model. The record is from RNAcentral.